GAGUGUGCAGCUUAGUGGCCUUAGCUUUGCAAAAGCUAGUGAGAAAUUUUAUGCUUGUUUCCACACUUU
This 69-nucleotide transfer RNA is filed under the name Rhinebothrium taeniuri. RNAcentral describes it as "tRNA-Cys". The record is from RNAcentral. Lineage: Eukaryota; Metazoa; Platyhelminthes; Cestoda; Rhinebothriidea; Rhinebothriidae.